AUUUUCAGCGAUGGAUGUCUUGGCUCGCGCAACGAUGGAGGACGCAGUGAAACGCGGAACGCAAUGUGAAUUGCAGAAUUCAGGCAAUCAUCAAGUUUCUGAACGCAAAUGGCACCUU
This 118-nucleotide ribosomal RNA is filed under the name Sarcocystis arieticanis. Its description in RNAcentral is "partial 5.8S ribosomal RNA". It matches the Rfam family "5.8S ribosomal RNA", at positions 2 to 119 of the family's 154-position model. From Rfam's summary of the family: 5.8S ribosomal RNA (5.8S rRNA) is a component of the large subunit of the eukaryotic ribosome. It is transcribed by RNA polymerase I as part of the 45S precursor that also contains 18S and 28S rRNA. The record is from RNAcentral. Lineage: Eukaryota; Apicomplexa; Conoidasida; Eucoccidiorida; Sarcocystidae.